ACCAUUUGCAUGUUGGUCUGCAGGGAGCAUAGUCUACUUAAAAAUGGAUCUCGCAGCAAAUCUGAGUUUGAGGGACCAUUCGCAUUUAAAUUGGUAUGCCAGGUCCAAGUUCUAAAAUGCUGGGAGGGGGUUCUCUUUCAUUUGGACGAAACAGUGGGAUGGAACUCCUUGGUGUGCAGGAUCUGGGGUACUUCGGAUGAUUUAAGGCUACAGAUUACACACAAAACUCUCGGUCAAGGAGUGUGAUGACUGGCGAGCAGAUGGCUGCCUUCCAUCCAUCGUCCACCCCCAACCCGCUGGAGAGGCCCAUCAAGAUGGGCUGGCUGAAGAAGCAGAGGUCCAUCGUGAAGAACUGGCAGCAGAGGUACUUUGUGCUGAGGGCUCAGCAGCUCUGCUACUACAAGGACGAAGAGGACACGAAGCCCCAGGGCUGCAUGUAUCUACCAGGAUGUACAAUCAAGGAGAUCGCCACAAACCCAGAAGAAGCUGGGAAGUUUGUCUUUGAAAUCAUUCCAGCCUCAUGGGACCAGAAUCGCAUGGGACAGGACUCCUAUGUCCUCAUGGCCAGCUCCCAGGCGGAGAUGGAGGAGUGGGUUAAAUUCCUCAGGAGAGUUGCUGGCACACCCUGUGGAGCAGUGUUUGGCCAACGCUUGGAUGAGACUGUGGCCUAUGAACAGAAAUUCGGUCCCCAUCUUGUGCCCAUCCUGGUGGAGAAAUGUGCAGAGUUCAUCCUGGAGCACGGCCGGAAUGAAGAGGGCAUCUUCCGUCUGCCUGGCCAGGACAACCUGGUGAAACAGCUGAGAGAUGCUUUUGAUGCUGGGGAGCGGCCCUCCUUUGACAG
This 841-nucleotide small RNA is filed under the name Pongo abelii (Sumatran orangutan). RNAcentral describes it as "processed transcript". Lineage: Eukaryota; Metazoa; Chordata; Mammalia; Primates; Hominidae. The record is from RNAcentral.